Potamilus streckersoni is the source of this 82-nucleotide non-coding RNA. NCBI's taxonomy places the organism in Eukaryota, Metazoa, Mollusca, Bivalvia, Unionida, Unionidae. The record is from the annotation of a GenBank genome assembly.
UUCUCAUCGCUCAGGUGUCCUAGUGGUUAGAGCGUCCGCCUCGGAUGCGGGAGGUCGCGGGUUAGAAGCCCGGCUGAGUCAU